Molecule: RNA transcript, 3852 nt
Organism: Prinia subflava (tawny-flanked prinia)
Lineage: Eukaryota; Metazoa; Chordata; Aves; Passeriformes; Cisticolidae
Gene: FUBP1
Gene name: far upstream element binding protein 1
Exons: 23
Source: RefSeq, a predicted model, not a curated record
GCUCCCCCCGAGCACGAUGCCGCGCAGGAAUGUGAAAGGCGCGCGCCCGCCGCCAUUUUCUCUCUUUCUUGGCAGACAGCGAUAGCGGUCGGAGCGGCGCCGGGGCGGCCAUGGCGGACUAUUCCACGGUGCCCCCUCCUGCCGCGGGCGCGCCCGGGGGAGGUGGUGGCGGGGCUGGAGGAGUGAACGAUGCCUUUAAAGACGCGCUGCAGAGGGCUAGGCAGAUUGCAGCGAAAAUUGGAGGAGAUGCUGGCACAGCAAUGAAUUCAAACGACUACGGUUAUGGAGGGCAGAAAAGACCUCUUGAAGAUGGAGAUGGCUCUUGGACAAGUCCGAGCAGUACAACACACUGGGAGGGAAUGCCCUCUCCUUUUAAAGAUCAACCAGAUGCUAAGAAAGUUGCUCCUCAGAAUGACUCUUUUGGAAAUCAGCUACCACCGAUGCAUCAGCAGCAAAGGUCUGUGAUGACAGAGGAGUACAAAGUUCCAGAUGGGAUGGUUGGAUUCAUAAUUGGCAGAGGUGGAGAGCAGAUCUCACGCAUACAGCAGGAGUCUGGCUGUAAAAUCCAGAUUGCACCUGAUAGUGGAGGCCUGCCUGAAAGAUCAUGUAUGCUAACUGGAACACCAGAGUCUGUUCAGUCAGCAAAAAGAUUACUUGAUCAGAUAGUUGAAAAGGGAAGACCUGCACCUGGAUUUCAUCAUGGUGAUGGACCUGGAAAUGCAGUCCAAGAAAUUAUGAUUCCAGCAAGUAAAGCAGGAUUAGUGAUUGGGAAAGGUGGAGAGACAAUUAAACAAUUACAGGAGCGGGCAGGUGUCAAAAUGGUCAUGAUUCAAGAUGGUCCACAGAAUACUGGUGCAGACAAGCCCCUUAGGAUAACUGGAGACCCUUAUAAAGUUCAGCAAGCCAAGGAAAUGGUGCUGGAGUUAAUUCGCGAUCAAGGUGGCUUUAGAGAGGUGCGCAACGAGUAUGGGUCAAGAAUAGGAGGAAAUGAAGGGAUAGACGUUCCAAUACCACGAUUUGCUGUAGGUAUUGUAAUUGGAAGAAAUGGAGAGAUGAUUAAAAAGAUCCAGAAUGAUGCUGGUGUUAGGAUCCAGUUUAAGCCAGAUGAUGGAACAACUCCAGAUAGAAUAGCCCAGAUCACAGGGCCUCCUGACAGAUGUCAGCAUGCUGCAGAAAUUAUUACGGAUCUCCUUCGCAGUGUUCAGGCUGGUAACCCUGGUGGACCAGGACCUGGUGGUCGAGGAAGGGGUAGAGGCCAAGGCAACUGGAACAUGGGGCCUCCUGGAGGAUUACAGGAGUUCAAUUUUAUUGUCCCUACUGGCAAAACUGGAUUAAUCAUUGGAAAAGGUGGAGAAACGAUUAAAAGUAUAAGCCAACAGUCUGGUGCUAGAAUAGAACUUCAAAGAAAUCCUCCACCUAAUGCGGAUCCAAACAUGAAGAUGUUUACUAUCCGUGGGACACCCCAGCAAAUAGAUUAUGCACGACAACUUAUAGAAGAAAAGAUUGGAGGUCCAGUGAAUCCAUUGGGUCCACCUGUUCCCCAUGGCCCCCAUGGUGUUGUUCCCGGCCCGCAUGGACCUCCUGGGCCACCAGGUCCUGGUGCUCCCAUGGGACCGUAUAACCCAGCUCCUUACAACCCAGGCCCUCCCGGUCCUGCACCUCAUGGUCCUCCAGCUCCAUAUGCUCCACAAGGAUGGGGAAAUGCUUAUCCUCACUGGCAGCCACCAAACCCACCAGACCCAGGUAAGCCAGGAACAGAUCCCAAUUCAGCAGCGUGGGCAGCUUAUUAUGCUCACUAUUAUCAGCAGCAAGCACAGCCACCACCUGCAGCCCCUCCUGGUGGACCAGCUACGACCCAGACUAAUGGACAAGGAGAUCAGCCAAAUCCAGCACCAGCAGGGCAGGUUGACUAUACCAAGGCCUGGGAGGAGUACUACAAAAAAAUGGGUCAAGCAGUUCCUGCCCCUGCUGGGGCUCCUCCGGGCGGUCAGCCAGAUUACAGCGCAGCGUGGGCGGAGUACUACAGGCAGCAGGCAGCGUACUACGCUCAGACAAGUCCACAGGGAAUGCCGCAGCAUCCUCCAGCACCACAGUGCAGGUUUGAUCCAGCCAGUAUAGAACUAGCUCUAUAGGGGUGAGGAGGACUGUGCUGUGUAUCAUCCUUGAUUGUUCCUUCAAGGAGCAUUGCACUUGCCUUCCCAGACCUUCCACCUUAGGUUCUGCUGCAAAAAAGCAACAGUGCUGAAGAUGCUGCAAGCACCAAAUCAUAGCUCAUAGAAUCAGGUCCUGAGAUAGUUACUACCAGUAAAGAGGAAUCCUUUGAGUGUAUGCCAUUGGUGAGCCGAUGAGCAUGGACCAUAGAAGGGCUCCAUGUAGAAGGUAAAAUUGGCAAAAGCAUAACAGAUUUGAAAUGUAUCCCAUACAUAAUGAUAUAGGGUAUAAUUUUUGUUUUGAUCACUUUUCAUUCUUUAAAGUAUUCUUUGUUUGACCAUAAAUGUUCCAUGAUCUGUUAAGUUUUAAACUGUGAUUUAAUAAUAUAAACCAUCUAUUUUACUUUAUAUUCUUCUAAACAGUCAAGCUAAUUUUUGAACUGAAUUAAUAGUUGUGCUUCAGUUUCUCAAGCCACUUAGUAUUUCAUCUGUAGCUUAACAUGUAACUUCAUUUUUGACGUGAGAAGAGGGUAGGUGUGUACCAUUUGGAGUUUGAUACUGUGGAUUUAGUGUGGGGGUGAGUCAUUUGUUCACUUCCUUUUUACAUGGUACUUUUUCCUUCAACUGUUACUCCUAAGAUAUCGUGAACAGUCUUUCAGUUGUUAAUUUAGCCUGUGGGAGGAGAAAAAGAAAAAGCCGGUGUAUUGGGAUGGUGCUAGUGUGUGGAAGGUGAGAUGUUCUUGUGUGUAACAUUUGAGGUGUAUUGGCUUCCAGCUUUCUCACUGCAGGGCUUGCAGGCAUGGGGGUUUGUGCAGAGCAUAGUGUUUCUUUUUCAACUCUGUCUCCAAACUCAGAGUUCCUGGGACAACAGUAGAUGAUUGGAGUUACCCCAGCAGCCAGAAAAAUAACUGGACUUGCUUAGAAAUGCAGUGAACUUGUCCAAAAGAUGUCUUGAAAUGUUUCUUGCUUACCCUACCCUCAUUGCUUAGUGUCCCACAAUGAAUGUGAAGAGUAAGAAAAGUUCUAAAAGGAAGCAUAAUGUUCCAAAUAGGAAAAGCAUUUUCAUACUACUUUCUGCAGCCUACACUUGAUUAGGACAUGGAACAGAAUACCAGGUGGAUACUCUUUAGUGUAAUAAGUCAUCUCUCACUUGUCCAGGCAGACAGGAUCACGAUUCACUUGCACAGCCUAUCUUGAAGUAUUUCAUCUUUUUACUAGUGGUAUUUUAUUGAAUGGUAGAAACUGUUUCUCCCCUGUUCUUUUCCAGAGUAAUUCUUAAAUCUUCCAUUGCAUGCCAAAAGCUUUUCCAUUUUGCUUUUUUUUCUGGAAAUGGGGGGAGGAAGGGAGGACUGGGCUUUGCAGAAAGCAUACAAUUGACAGGAUUCCCUCUUCCCUAGUAAUAGCUUAUGAAACUCUUGUGUAUGCACAAAUAUUUCUCUUGCGUGCAUGUGAAAUGCCUUUUCGUCCUGAGAAAAGUGUUCUCUGCAGAAACUACCCGUGUGUAUACAGAAGAUUGGCUUUAAAAGGCAACUGUGAUGGGAACAGUGUCUUAGGGAGAUGCAGCUUGGACUUGAGGUAAAUUGAAUGCUUUACAAAAAUGUGGUUUUGAGCUUGCAUUGACAUUGUAUGUAAUAUGGGUACACAUUAACUGUAUAAUGGUUUUUGUAUGGUUUUUCUCAAUAAAUGUAAAACUGAUGAAUAA